GAUGAACGCUGGCGGCGUGCCUAAUACAUGCAAGUCGAGCGAACAGAUGAGGAGCUUGCUCCUCUUACGUUAGCGGCGGACGGGUGAGUAACACGUGUAUAACCUGCCUAUAAGACUGGGAUAACUUCGGGAAACCGGAGCUAAUACCGGAUCAUAUAUUGAACCGCAUGGUUCAAUAGUGAAAGACGGUUUUGCUGUCACUUAUAGAUGGAUCCGCGCCGCAUUAGCUAGUUGGUAAGGUAACGGCUUACCAAGGCAACGAUGCGUAGCCGACCUGAGAGGAUGAUCGGCCACACUGGAACUGAGACACGGUCCAGACUCCUACGGGAGGCAGCAGUAGGGAAUCUUCCGCAAUGGGCGAAAGCCUGACGGAGCCACGCCGCGCGAGUGAUGAAGGUCUUCGGAUCGUAAAGCUCUGUUAUUAGGGAAGAACAAAUGUGUAAGUAACUAUGCACGUCUUGACGGUACCAACUCAGAAAGCAACGGCUAACUACGUG
RNAcentral lists this ribosomal RNA (497 nucleotides) under uncultured bacterium. RNAcentral's name for it is "partial 16S ribosomal RNA". It matches the Rfam family "Bacterial small subunit ribosomal RNA", at positions 28 to 507 of the family's 1533-position model. The record is from RNAcentral.